AGUGAACGCUGGCGGUAGGCCUAACACAUGCAAGUCGAACGGCAGCACAGUAAGAGCUUGCUCUUACGGGUGGCGAGUGGCGGACGGGUGAGGAAUACAUCGGAAUCUACUUUUUCUUGGGUGAUAACGUAGGGACACUUACGCUAAUACCGCAUACGACCUACGGGUUAAAGCAGGGGAUCUUCGGACCUUUCGCGAUUGAAUGAGCCGAUGUCGGAUUAGCUAGUUGGCGGGGUAAAGGCCCACCAAGGCGACGAUCCGUAGCUGGUCUGAGAGGAUGAUCAGCCACACUGGAACUGAGACACGGUCCAGACUCCUACGGGAGGCAGCAGUGGGGAAUAUUGGACAAUGGGCGCAAGCCUGAUCCAGCCAUACCGCGUGGGUGAAGAAGGCCUUCGGGUUGUAAAGCCCUUUUGUUGGGAAAGAAAAGAAGUAGGUUAAUAUACGGCUGUUCUGACGGUACCCAAAGAAUAAGCACCGGCUAACUUCGUG
RNAcentral lists this ribosomal RNA (492 nucleotides) under uncultured bacterium. RNAcentral describes it as "partial 16S ribosomal RNA". It matches the Rfam family "Bacterial small subunit ribosomal RNA", at positions 29 to 507 of the family's 1533-position model. The record is from RNAcentral.